Bacteroidales bacterium KA00344 is the source of this 185-nucleotide small RNA. It matches the Rfam family "Bacteroidales-1 6S-Bacteroidales RNA suggested". The record is from Rfam. NCBI's taxonomy places the organism in Bacteria, Pseudomonadati, Bacteroidota, Bacteroidia, Bacteroidales.
GGUUGUAUCGGUUCGAUUGGGAUACUCAUCAAAUUAAAUUGAAAACCGAGAAUGUUUCUCUUGUUGAUGGCGGGCCACAUAAAGCGCUUGGCGCCUAAGCAUUAUGCCGGUGGAUUACAAAGACGGAGAACACUCACCUCUUUUAUAGAAGGAGUUUUCAUCACAUCAUCGUUACGAUCCCCUUU